RNA transcript from Aricia agestis (brown argus), 3237 nucleotides. It is a transcript of the gene named regucalcin-like, with no coding region annotated. The record is from RefSeq and is a predicted model, not a curated record. NCBI's taxonomy places the organism in Eukaryota, Metazoa, Arthropoda, Insecta, Lepidoptera, Lycaenidae. The transcript has 6 exons.
UCAAAAGUCAAAACAAAACAACGUGUUGGUGUUUUAAAUUGUCUUGUGUCGUAUACUUAAUUAGCAAUAAAUCAAAUAAAUAAAUGAUAUUUUUAUGAGUUUAGGGUUGCUAAAAGCAAAACACCAAACAAAAUGACAUCAAUCUUUCUUCGUACAGAUGUAACGUGUGUCAAACUUUUCAAGAAUUAUAUUCUUGCAGGUAUAGGAAGCAAACUUAAUAUAUUCGACCGAGACACAUUUAAACUGCUACUAGAACUGGACACUCUUGAAGGGCAGACAAUUUAUGGCAUUAUUCCCUCUAAGUGUGAAAGUAAUAUUCUAAUAUAUGGAGGAAAACAGUUGGCUGUUGCAAGAUUUACUGAGAGCGAGGACGGGCAAGCAACAUGCUCAGCUCCGGUCAUAAUAUGUGAUGACUGGUUACAUUCCGGUGUCUGGGUUAAUGAGACUGAUGUUGCGGUUCUUACAGCUCACAAUGUGGUGCAGAUCUGGGACACUCAAAAUUGGUGUCUCAAGUCUAAACAUGAGAGUAAAAACAACUCAAUCCUGUACAGUGGGUUGCUGGCAGUACUUAAUGAUGAUAUUCUCAUAUUCAGUGGUACUGUAUACUCUGAAGUUAUCAUACAGACAUUCAAACUGGGUCCCCUACACUUCCUCAAAGGACAUAAUGGUGUUAUAUUCUCAAUAACAUAUGACGUAGUCAAGGAAAUUAUAGUUACAACAUCUGAUGAUAGAUCUGUACGUAUCUGGAAAAUACACAAUGACAGUUUUGAUCACAAGAUAAGUAGCUACUGGCAAAAUAUCAAAAUUGAGUGUAUACAUGACCUAUACGGGCAUACAGCAAGAGUUAUGAGGAGCCACAUAAGUGAGGAGUGUAUAAUAUCAGUUGGAGAAGAUUCCGGAAUAUGUUACUGGGGUUUCAAUGGAAGUUUACUUAGGAGGAUCAUGUCCCAUCAAAAUAGCAGUAUUUGGAGCCUACAUGCUGAUGAUAAACAUCUUGUCACUGGUGGGGGAGAUGGUGCUAUAAUUCUACAUCCAUUAGGAUCAAUAGAUGACUAUAAGAAUAGUGAAAUAAUCACCAUUGAUGCAGAUACACCAAAAAAGUUGGUAUUCACAGCUAGAAGAAAUAUUGUUAUGGUCAAUGAAAGCAAUGAAUUAAUUUAUUUUGAUGUGGCAUCUAAACAACCCACAAAACAUGACUUAAAUCAUGAAUCAACCUACAAAAUGCUUGAUAUAACCUCCUGUAAACAAAUAAUAGCAGUUUCAGAUAUGAAAGGUAAUCUAGAUGUGUUUAUCGAAAAUUGUAAAGGUGAAGCAGAAAUACAUAAAAUUGUAGACACAAAAUUAAAUAUUGGUAAAGUUUUAUCAAUGCAUUGGGCUGGCAAUAGACAUCUUAUAUUUUGCUCUGAUAGUGGUAGUGUAAAUGUAGUUGCAGCAACUCAUAAUGCUAUCGAAAUUAUAUCUUCAUAUGUCUUACCACCUUGCAAAGAAAGAUGGCUAACAGCUGCUGCUAUGGAUGUAGAUCGGAAGAUUAUUUUAGUGGGGGAUAGAUGUGGAAAUAUACAUGUUUACAAUAAUGGAGUAAAAAAUCCAGUGAAAACAUUCAAUAAGGUCCACGGUAGAUAUGGUGCCACUUCAAUAAAUGUACGAGAUAAAGACAUAAUUACGACUGGAAGAGAUGGCUCAAUUAAAUACUUUUCUAUGCAUAACUAUAAAGUUAAAUACAUGUCCACCAAAAACGUCGAAUUUCAGUGGGUAGAAAAGUUUAUUGAUAAGAAUUAUAAAUAUGUUUGUGGAUUUCAAGAGAGAAUUUUUGUUGUUUAUAGUUUAGAUAACGAUAUGAAGUUGAUAGAAGCGAAUUGUGGGGGCGGGCAUCGGUCCUGGGACGUCGUACGAUUUGUUGAUAAGAUAAACGAUUGUUAUGAGAAAGUUAUCAAACUAGUUUACAUAAAGAAUUCAGAUAUCCAUUUAAACACAUUCCUAAUGAAUAGAAUCGUGUCUCAAAAUGUAGUACAUGGUACUCACUCUAAUGCUAUUAACUGCUUGAAAACAGUAAAGCAUAGAAAAGAUGGGAAAACAACAUUUUUCAUAUCUGGAGGAGAAGAUACAACUCUAAGAAUAUCUAAACUAGAUAAUGAUGGGAACUUCAAAGAUGAUUUUAUAUUUAAACAUCUAUCUAACAUAAGAACUGUUAAAACAGCUGAUCUAGAUGAUGAUAGAAUUCUUCUACUGUCUGCUGGUGGUAGGGCACAGAUUUGUGCUAAAAUCCUUGAUGUUAAAGAAACUAAAGUCAUUGCGGAAGAAGUAGUAGAUUUUCUUAUAAAAGGGACUGAUAAAGAGAGAAAAGGCAAUCAAAAUUGGAAAAGCGUAACAGUAGAUUUUGAUCCUGAAACUAGAGUCAUGGAUUUGGAAACUAUUAAAGCCGCUAAUGGAUUUAAAAUAUUCGCUGCUUGCUCUGAUGCAUACUUGAGAGUAUUUGAAUUAAAUGAAAAUAAACUAUCACUUAUUAACAAUAUAAAACAUCACAAUACUUGCAUAUUAAAGACACAUUCCCUUAACAUUAAAAACAUGGAUUUAGUCGUAACUUGUACAACCAGAGGUGAUAUAGCAUUUUGGAAUGCCUCUAAUGACAUUGUAUUUUCAACAAAAACAAAUAAAUCAGGCAUAAACUGCGUUUCAUCGGCUGUCAUAUCAGAUAAAAGAUUUGUUAUAGCUACUGGUGGUGAUGAUAAUUCUAUACACAUAGUACUAUUAGAAUAUAAUUCUACAAUGGAGAUUAUAGCAAAAUGGACAUCAAAUCAAUACCAUUGUUCUCAGAUAACUGGUAUUAUUUGUGUGGAUGAUUUGUUGAUUUCAACGUCUAUAGACCAAAGAGUAACUUUGUUAAAGUGGUCUAUAAAUGAUGAUGAAAUAAAAUGUAAUUUCUUAUCCCAAUGCUUCAGUAAUGUAGCCGACAUACAUGGAAUGGACCUUUUGGAGUAUAACAACGAUUCUGUAGUGGUCUGUGUGUUCGGUAAAGGGAUGGAAGUCAUCAGUAUACCAGUGAAUAGAUCCUGAGAAGACGCAGUAGUAGAUGGCUGGUCGAGUGAAGAAAGACACGAUCGCUAAGACAAUGCAGAACAAUACGUGCACGAUCAAGGCUGUGACGGAGCCCGUGUUGCUGGGCGAGGGCCCGCACUGGUCGCACCACCACCACGCGCUGUUCUUCGUCAGCAUCUUCGACAAGACCAUACACAAAUA